RNAcentral lists this ribosomal RNA (495 nucleotides) under uncultured bacterium. RNAcentral's name for it is "partial 16S ribosomal RNA". It matches the Rfam family "Bacterial small subunit ribosomal RNA", at positions 28 to 507 of the family's 1533-position model. The record is from RNAcentral.
GACGAACGCUGGCGGCGUGCCUAAUACAUGCAAGUAGAACGCUGAAGGAGGAGCUUGCUUCUCUGGAUGAGUUGCGAACGGGUGAGUAACGCGUAGGUAACCUGCCUGGUAGCGGGGGAUAACUAUUGGAAACGAUAGCUAAUACCGCAUAAUAGUAGAUGUUGCAUGACAUUUACUUAAAAGGUGCAAUUGCAUCACUACCAGAUGGACCUGCGUUGUAUUAGCUAGUUGGUGGGGUAACGGCUCACCAAGGCGACGAUACAUAGCCGACCUGAGAGGGUGAUCGGCCACACUGGGACUGAGACACGGCCCAGACUCCUACGGGAGGCAGCAGUAGGGAAUCUUCGGCAAUGGACGAAAGUCUGACCGAGCAACGCCGCGUGAGUGAAGAAGGUUUUCGGAUCGUAAAGCUCUGUUGUAAGAGAAGAACGAGUGUGAGAGUGGAAAGUCCACACUGUGACGGUAUCUUACCAGAAAGGGACGGCUAACUACGUG